RNAcentral lists this long non-coding RNA (1431 nucleotides) under Panax ginseng (ginseng). Its description in RNAcentral is "long non-coding RNA (PGIN_LNC006485)". The record is from RNAcentral. Lineage: Eukaryota; Viridiplantae; Streptophyta; Magnoliopsida; Apiales; Araliaceae.
AGGAAAGGUAAAUUUUAAGUGGUUCGGAGAAUGAAUAACUCCUACUUCACUCUUCUACUACUCGAGUAGGAAAUCCACUAAAGGUUUAGUCACACAGACAAUGACACUUUGCCCUCUUCAAGCCCAGCAGACUUGGAUAUUUAGUCACAAUGACUAGGACACUUUUGCCCUCUUCAAACCUCGCAGACUAGAAUAUUUGGUCACAAAGACAAGGACUCUUAGCUCUUAGAUGUCCUGAUGAUUGAUGUUUGUUGUGAGGUGCUGCUAAGUUUGCGUUAAGCUUUUCUUCUCACGUACUUAGCAGCUCGAACUUUUUGUAUAUUGGAUCGUUGAAUUCAUUCUUUUACGUUAGCAAAGUUUUUGGCUUUUUGAUCAAUGUUUGUUACUUUCAAAGUUAAAUCCUUGUAGCCCUUUAUACUCUGCUGAGAAGUCUUCCCGUUGCAAAAUACCCGUUGGUGCAUUUAAUGCAUACUAGGAUCCUUGAUGUUGACAUUUUAAACCCAGGAGAUAGUUCCUUUUUCCUUGCCUGUCACAUCAGUAUGCUUUCUCACCUAACACCCUUGAUGUGUCACUGUCACCAACUAGCUGGUAGGCUCGAUUUUCACCAAGGAUAUUUUGAGAGUGCAUUAGGACCUUCAACUUACAACGCUUCAAUGUCAGUCAGUUUGUCAGACUUAACUGCUCUACGAUCGAGUCUUUAUCAGCGAUCGUUUAUCUAGCUGGAAGGAUCAGUUGUUCACUUAACGAUCUGAAGUGACUGAGAGUUUUAAUUACUCCAAGAGUAGUUCAACGAUCAAGAAUGUAUUUUACCUUGUGCUUCCUUUGUGAUCUUGUACUUCAAGUAGCAGGGUAACCUUACGAUCUUACAACAUCCUAUCAACUGUACAUCAUAUUAGCUUUUUUUAAGAUCAACCUAACAUUAUUUGAUUUUUUUAUUCUAAGUCCUUAUACAAUUGAUCAAUUCUUUAUAAGGACUGUAUAAAUCGUACUGGUACAAAUAUACAUUAAGCUCAUUCAUCAUCAAAUUAAAAUAUGCAAACUUUAACAAAAGUCACCUAGGGAUUUACGUCUAAUACGACCAACAAUAACAACCGCCUCAAUUGACAACCAACUAUCCCCAAAUAAAACCUUAAGCUAAGUCACUACCAGUACUUUAACAGGGUUACUAACAAAAUGAGCUAAUAGAGAUAAUAUGAAAGCAUAAAUAAUAAGUUAACUUCAAAAUCUCUAUCUUGGCUUUGAUACCAAAUACACCAGAAAUCAUAGAGAUUAAAACACUAUUUGCAAUUGCAAUUAAUCAUAGAUAUAAAAACAGCGGAAUAUUAUUAAUUUUAAAGCAAACUUACAUAGAUAGGAAGACUGACAAUUUCCAAACUGAAUCACACUGUCAAACUGAUGAACACUCUUUUAUACAAAUUUUUCUUUCACUCU